AUAAUUUAGUCAUGUUUCUAAAUUAUUUGUCAAUAUUUAUAUGACUAACCUUUUUAUGCUUCAUUUAUAAAAUGUACUUAUAUCCCAAUAUUCUUAACAACAAAGUUUUUAAAAAGAAUCUUAACAUUGCACCAUAGUUUGAGUUUCGAUUUAUCUAAUAUAGUAUAAAGCGAUUUAGAAUUUAUAAAUGAUAUAUCAAGUUUACAUACAAAUAAAAUUAAAAAUUGAAACGAAUUCAGGAAACAUAUAUUCAGAACAUACUUGAUAAGGGAUGAUGAUGGGAUACUCAAACAUAUGUAAAGAACUGUAUGUCGUUAAAAAUAGAAUUUAGUGAGAGUUUUGGAUUCUGAAACCCAUGAAGGCUGUGAGCAAAAAGAAUCAUGUAAACGGUACUGGGUGCGUUUUAAAAAAAAAUCAUGUAAAACGUUUGAAACUCUUAGGUUUGACUGGUGAUUCAAAAGCAAUUUAGUAAAUUUGAAGUGAAAUACUAAUUAAUUAUAUAGUUCACAGCCACAAAUCUAACUUAGGAUAUGAUAGAAGCGACAUAAGAUAAGAGACUGAUUGGUAACUACAAACGUCAAAUAGAUAUUCUCCCUGUUCCCCUCU
Molecule: long non-coding RNA, 606 nt
Filed under: Brassica napus (rape)
Lineage: Eukaryota; Viridiplantae; Streptophyta; Magnoliopsida; Brassicales; Brassicaceae
Description: long non-coding RNA (BNAP_LNC004984)
Source: RNAcentral